This 919-nucleotide ribosomal RNA is filed under the name uncultured archaeon. RNAcentral's name for it is "bacterial SSU rRNA". It matches the Rfam family "Archaeal small subunit ribosomal RNA", at positions 1 to 922 of the family's 1478-position model. The record is from RNAcentral.
UUCCGGUUGAUCCUGCCGGAGGCCAUUGCUAUUGGGAUUCGAUUUAGCCAUGCUAGUCGCACGAGUUCAGACUCGUGGCGAAUAGCUCAGUAACACGUGGCCAAACUACCCUUCGGAACACAAUACCCUCGGGAAACUGAGGCUAAUAGUGUAUACCACAGUCCACCUGGAAUGAGGACUGUGCCAAACGCUCCGGCGCCGAAGGAUGUGGCUGCGGCCGAUUAGGUAGACGGUGGGGUAACGGCCCACCGUGCCAAUAAUCGGUACGGGUCAUGAGAGUGAGAACCCGGAGACGGAAUCUGAGACAAGAUUCCGGGCCCUACGGGGCGCAGCAGGCGCGAAACCUUUACACUGCACGACAGUGCGAUAAGGGAAUCCCAAGUGCGUAGGCAUAGAGCCUACGCUUUUGUCCACCGUAGGGAGGUGGACGAAUAAGGGCUGGGCAAGACCGGUGCCAGCCGCCGCGGUAAUACCGGCAGCCCGAGUGAUGGCCGAUCUUAUUGGGCCUAAAGCGUCCGUAGCUGGCCGCGCAAGUCUAUCGGAAAAUCCACCCGCUCAACGGGUGGGCGUCCGGUAGAAACUGUGUGGCUUGGGACCGGAAGGCGCGACGGGUACGUCCGGGGUAGGAGUGAAAUCCUGUAAUCCUGGACGGACCGCCGAUGGCGAAAGCACGUCGCGAAGACGGAUCCGACAGUGAGGGACGAAAGCUAGGGUCUCGAACCGGAUUAGAUACCCGGGUAGUCCUAGCCGUAAACAAUGCCUGUUAGGUGUGGCUCCCACUACGAGUGGGUGCUGUGCCGUAGGGAAGCCGCUAAACAGGCCGCCUGGGAAGUACGUCCGCAAGGAUGAAACUUAAAGGAAUUGGCGGGGGAGCACUACAACCGGAGGAGCCUGCGGUUUAAUUGGAUUCAACGCCGGG